GGAUCCAGACUUUGAUUCUGGCUCAGGAUGAACGCUAGCGACAGGCUUAACACAUGCAAGUCGAGGGGCAGCGAGGGAGUGGUAACACUCCUGUCGGCGACCGGCGCACGGGUGAGUAACGCGUAUGCAACCUGCCCUUCACAGGGGGAUAACCGGGAGAAAUUCCGACUAAUACCGCAUACGUCCUCCGGGGGCAUCCCCGGGGGAUGAAAGAAUUAUCGGUGAGGGAUGGGCAUGCGUGAUAUUAGGUAGUUGGCGGGGCAACGGCCCACCAAGCCCACGAUAUCUAGGGGUUCUGAGAGGAAGGUCCCCCACAUUGGUACUGAGACACGGACCAAACUCCUACGGGAGGCAGCAGUGAGGAAUAUUGGUCAAUGGACGAGAGUCUGAACCAGCCAAGUCGCGUGAAGGAAGAC
This 416-nucleotide ribosomal RNA is filed under the name uncultured Bacteroidota bacterium. RNAcentral describes it as "bacterial SSU rRNA". It matches the Rfam family "Bacterial small subunit ribosomal RNA", at positions 1 to 412 of the family's 1533-position model. The record is from RNAcentral. Lineage: Bacteria; Pseudomonadati; Bacteroidota.